This 450-nucleotide ribosomal RNA is filed under the name uncultured bacterium. RNAcentral describes it as "partial 16S ribosomal RNA". It matches the Rfam family "Bacterial small subunit ribosomal RNA", at positions 338 to 795 of the family's 1533-position model. The record is from RNAcentral.
CCUACGGGUGGCUGCAGUAAGGAAUAUUGGUCAAUGGAGGAAACUCUGAACCAGCCAUCCCGCGUGAAGGAUGAAGGGGCUCUGCCUUGUAAACUUCUUUUGUCUGGGGCGAAAAAGCUCGAUUUAUCGAGACCUGACGGUACCAGAAGAAUAAGCACCGGCUAACUCCGUGCCAGCAGCCGCGGUCAUACGGAGGGUGCAGGAAUUCUCCGGAAUCACUGGGUUUAAGGGGGCCUAGUAAGUCAGCGGAGAAAGGCUGUGGCUUAACCAUGGAAUUGCCAUUGAUACUGCAGAGCUUGAAUGAGGUUGAGGUUGGCGGAAUGUGACAUGUAGCGGUGAAAUGCUUAGAUAUGUCAUGGAACACCGAUUGCGAAGGCAGCUGACUGGACCUAUAUUGACGCUGAGGCACGAAAGCGUGGGGAGCGAACAGGAUUAGAUACCCCUGUAGUC